UGCAUAUCAAAAAGCGGAGGAAAAGAAACCAACAGGGAUUGCCUUAGUAGCGGCGAGUGAACAGGCAAGAGCUCAGAUUUGAAAGCCCUCGGGCAUUGUAUUCUGAAGCCUUGGUCCUGAGAAUCGGUGUUUAAGUCUUCUGGAAAGGAGCGCCAUGGAGGGUGAUAGCCCCGUACGACACCACUCUCAUUGUAGGACUUUGGCAUGGAGUCGAGUUGUUUGGGAAUGCAGCUCAAAUGGGUGGUAUGCUCCAUCUAAAGCUAAAUAUCUGCGAGAGACCGAUAGCGAACAAGUACUGUGAAGGAAAGAUGAAAAGAACUUUGAAAAGAGAGUGAAAAAGUACGUGAAAUUGUUGAAAUGGAAGGAUAGGCCGCUAACCAUGUAGGGUCGUGUUCGAGGGGAAGAUAAAAGCUGAAGAAUGUAGCUCCUCGGAGUGUUAUAGCUUCAGUCCAUAUUCCCUCUCGAGCGCGAGGAUUGAAGACUCUGCUAAAUGGUGGUCUAUCACCCGUCUUGAACCACGGACCA
RNAcentral lists this ribosomal RNA (525 nucleotides) under Starmerella apicola. RNAcentral describes it as "partial large subunit ribosomal RNA". It matches the Rfam family "Eukaryotic large subunit ribosomal RNA", at positions 37 to 668 of the family's 3401-position model. The record is from RNAcentral. Lineage: Eukaryota; Fungi; Ascomycota; Dipodascomycetes; Dipodascales; Trichomonascaceae.